AUUGAACGCUGGCGGCAGGCCUAACACAUGCAAGUCGAGCGGAUGAAGGGAGCUUGCUCCUGGAUUCAGCGGCGGACGGGUGAGUAAUGCCUAGGAAUCUGCCUGGUAGUGGGGGAUAACGUCCGGAAACGGGCGCUAAUACCGCAUACGUCCUGAGGGAGAAAGUGGGGGAUCUUCGGACCUCACGCUAUCAGCUGAUCCUAGGUCGGAUUAGCUAGUUGGUGGGGUAAAGGCCUACCAAGGCGACGAUCCGUAACUGGUCUGAGAGGAUGAUCAGUCACACUGGAACUGAGACACGGUCCAGACUCCUACGGGAGGCAGCAGUGGGGAAUAUUGGACAAUGGGCGAAAGCCUGAUCCAGCCAUGCCGCGUGUGUGAAGAAGGUCUUCGGAUUGUAAAGCACUUUAAGUUGGGAGGAAGGGCAGUAAGUUAAUACCUUGCUGUUUUGACGUUACCAACAGAAUAAGCACCGGCUAACUUCGUG
Molecule: ribosomal RNA, 484 nt
Filed under: uncultured bacterium
Lineage: Bacteria
Description: partial 16S ribosomal RNA
Rfam family: Bacterial small subunit ribosomal RNA
Source: RNAcentral